UUGAAUAGUCAUACCACCCUGCAGCCCAAGACUGGAACUCUCUAAAGCUAGGCAGGGCUGAGCCUGGUCAGUACCUGGAUGGGAGACCACAUGGGAAAACUAGGUUGCUGUUGGAA
RNAcentral lists this ribosomal RNA (116 nucleotides) under Danio rerio (zebrafish). The record is from RNAcentral. Lineage: Eukaryota; Metazoa; Chordata; Actinopteri; Cypriniformes; Danionidae.